UCGGGAGAGGACAGGACAGUAGAGUUGGCAGACACAAUCCUCUGUUCUUUCCUCUCCUGCCU
RNAcentral lists this microRNA precursor (62 nucleotides) under Ornithorhynchus anatinus (platypus). RNAcentral's name for it is "microRNA oan-mir-7412 precursor". The record is from miRBase by way of RNAcentral. Lineage: Eukaryota; Metazoa; Chordata; Mammalia; Monotremata; Ornithorhynchidae.